RNAcentral lists this unclassified non-coding RNA (26 nucleotides) under Mus musculus (house mouse). RNAcentral describes it as "oocyte_clustered_small_RNA8411". Lineage: Eukaryota; Metazoa; Chordata; Mammalia; Rodentia; Muridae. The record is from RNAcentral.
AGCUAUCCUGGCUUCUGAAAACUCCC